CAAAUAGUCCAGCUAGCCAUUUGAUUACCUGUUCAGGAGUCUUAUGGCUUGGGGGUAAAAACUGAUGAGAAGCCUUUUUGUCCUAGACUUGGCACUCCGGUACCGCUUGCAAUGCGGUAGUAGAGAGAACAGUCUAUGACUGGGCUGGCUGGGGUCUUUGACCAUUUUUAGGGCCUUCCUCUGACACCGCCUGGUGUAGAGGUCCUGGAUGGCAGGCAGCUUAGCCCCGGUGAUGUACUGGGCCGUACGCACUACCCUCUGUAGUGCCUUGCGCCCCAAACUCCACCAUUAACACAGUUACCAUUCAAAAACGAGCUGUUUGUCUAAAAAAUGACAUUGCGACCAAACAGAACAGACAUAGUGGACAUAGUUUUCAUCAAGCCAGCUUCUUUCUAUGGUGCUACCCAGGGUAGGACUGCAACCACCAGAGGAUCAGAGCGGAGAGGAUCACCAAAACUAAAGAGCAUACAACCAUGACGACAACCAGCUGUAGUGAUCAGUGGAAAAAGGUCUGGACAACGGGCCGCACCGAAAAAAACGCAUGGUUGUCAAGAAAGCGGUCACUGUAAUCGAUGGGGGCUCUUGGCGGUACCAUUCCGCUCAUCUGAUGAAGGUGCACAUGGAUCAGAUUCAAACUUUGAAGACCGAGAUCGAGUCAUUGAAGGCAGACCAGAAAGAGAAACAUUAUCUGAAGGCAGAGAUAUGGGUGACAGCUGAUGCAUUGGUCCAGAGCCGGGUGGCAUUGGGGGAGAGUCAGGCGGAGAAUGAAGAGGGCGAGGAACGAGAUGGAGUCACAAUCCAUGCCAGGCACACCUGUGAGCUCUGGAACUCCACCUUCGACAGGCAAAGUCAACGUACCUGGCGGGUUCGUCAGGUUGUCGAUUCACCCUGACAUUUCCAUUUCUCUUCUGACAACAGAACUUGACCAAGGCAAAUGUAGCUUACCAGUGAACCUCCGGGUGUUCAUCAUUAAUACUGUGUCACAAAAGUUUCUGUCCAUGACUGAUGCAACCCGAAAAAGCAUUAAAGACAGAGUUAAGGAGUACUUGAGGUCACC
RNAcentral lists this long non-coding RNA (1057 nucleotides) under Salmo salar (Atlantic salmon). RNAcentral describes it as "lncRNA (ENSSSAG00000101446.1)". Lineage: Eukaryota; Metazoa; Chordata; Actinopteri; Salmoniformes; Salmonidae. The record is from RNAcentral.